RNAcentral lists this long non-coding RNA (1279 nucleotides) under Homo sapiens (human). RNAcentral's name for it is "long intergenic non-protein coding RNA 2235". Lineage: Eukaryota; Metazoa; Chordata; Mammalia; Primates; Hominidae. The record is from RNAcentral.
CAUGGGCGCCCGCCCACCGGAGGAGCGACUGGAGUUGAUCGGCUGGGCGCUCAGGUAGCGAAGAUAAAUGUAAUCUUGUGGCAGGAAAUCGACAUUCUCUGCACUAUCUUUAGUUUUCCAACUGAACUUCUGAGAAAUGGAGGCUACAAUACCUAGUUUGCCAAACAGGAGAAGACUACAAUUCCCAGAAGGAACUGCGACCAACAUUGGUCCGUGCUCAUACUUUGCAUCAUGGGACUUGUAGUCAUCACCAGCUUGCGCUGAUUCUAACAGAACCUGGACAACUACCCUCAAUUGGUAACAUAUUUUGGUGAGCCAGCCAGAAGGAUCAAGUCUGUGAUACCUGAAGCCUCAGACCUGGAACCUGAAGUUUCCUUCAGCCACUACACCUGUGAACCUGUGGAAGACCUGAAGUGCCUGUUUAGAAGACAGCCAAAAGAGCCAAUAUCAUACUGAAUGGGCAAAAACUGAAGCAUUCCCUUUGAAAACUGGCACAAGACAAGGAUGCUCUCUCUCACCACUCCUAUUCAACAUAGUGUUGGAAAUUCUGGCCAGGGCAAUCAGAAAUUACAAUUUGGGGACAGGAGGAGAGAUACAGGUGGGAAGUCACAGGAACUAAAGUCAAACUAAAGGAAAAUCUGUGGCGAGAAGGUCCAUGAAGUUCUACUGCUAAGGUCCCUGAAGUUGAUCUGGUUCCUCCCGCUUCUGGACUUUUCCUUGGACUCCAUGAGAUAAUCUAAUGUUCUUUCAAUAGUUUCACUCUUGUUGCCCAGGCUGGAGUGCAAUGGUGUGAUUUCAGCUUACUGAAACCUCCACCUCCUAGGUUCAAGAGAUUCUCCUGCCUCAGCUUCCCGAGUAGCUGGAAUUACAGCUUCAGAUCCAAAUGGUAUGCUAGCAUUCUCUUCCUAGCAGUCCACUGUCAAGACUUCACUGUUAGAAGAAGAAUCACACCAGAAUUAAGGUCAAAUGGAUUAUCUUAUUCUUAAUUGCUGAAAAUCACACCUCAUUGAAAUUUGCUUCAUAACUGAACCAUGAAUUUUUCAUCAAACAUACUUUUGUGUUUCUCCUCCUGGCAUUCUUUAUGAGGAACUUCUUUUUGGAGCUCACUGACUUCCUGUUCUAAUUUGGUCCAGUUAUUUUCUAGAAUUGCUACAUGACUGUCAUCCUGGGACAUCCUUCUGUUGGAAUCUGGGAGAGCUUACAACUUUUCAUAUCCUCUCUUCUUCUUUGUGUUUUUCACCCUGAAGUGUACAAAGUCAAAUGAAUUUCCUAGAAAAAC